RNAcentral lists this small nucleolar RNA (74 nucleotides) under Dipodomys ordii (Ord's kangaroo rat). RNAcentral describes it as "Small nucleolar RNA SNORD28 (ENSDORG00000022473.2)". The record is from RNAcentral. Lineage: Eukaryota; Metazoa; Chordata; Mammalia; Rodentia; Heteromyidae.
AUCAUAUGAUUUGAAUAAACAAACUGAUGCUCACUGAGGCAAGACAACUUUUUAGCAUGUUAGAGUUACAUGUA